UUUGUGUCCGGGGAUGGGCGUCCAGGUACACACCGGCUCACUCCUUGGUGGCUGCUUAUCGGGGCCUGGAGCCUGGGGCUUGCUCGGGCCACUUCGGGGGUGGGGUGCCCCCGGCCUCUCGGCCUGGGGCUCGGUCACUCAGGCACAGCUGGCUGCCGGCGGAGCUCACGGGCGCGUCACUGCAACUCCCCCUGGCUUCUGCUCCGCGGCUGCUGAAUGAGCCCUCAUCUGGGACUCUCCUUAGCUCUUACUGGGACAGUGGUGCGGCUGCCCCUCUGUGGGUCUUCCUUGGUCUCUUGUGUUCUGGGGGCCUCUGGAUGUCUGGAGUUUUGAUCUCCUCCAUACCUGCUUGAUACCAUAAAGGACAGGGCUGUGGCUCCCCACACUCCCUAGCAGAUCAUUACAUGGAGAAACCUUUGGAAUGCAAGCAUGCUGAUCCACACAGGUAUGCACACAGGUGUACACAUGGGUAUUCACAGACGCGGACUACAGCUUUCUUGGCUGCUGCCUCAAAGCACACUGUGCGCUGUCUAUCUUGCGUGCUGCACAAUAUCGUUUAUUAUUUAGUAACUAUUGAUAUCUACGGCUAGCUAGUUUAUUGUGAUGGUGCUUUUUUUUUUUUUUCUUAUUAUGUUGCUCUUUGUUGUUUGCUGUCUCCUCUGUUUUUUUUUUUCUCCAUACAGGUGACCCAGGAGUUUUGUUUUUUUUGUUUGUUUGUUUUUUUCUCUCUUCCCCCCCUUCUCACCGUCUCUUCUCCCCUUUGGUUUUCUUUCUUUCUUUCUCUCCCUCUCUUUCUUUCAUUCUGUCCCCCUGUCCUAUAAAAAAAAAAAAAAAAAAAAAAAAAAAAAAAAGGCCAAAACUAUAAUGAUGAGAAGAUUAAAAAAUAUCUUACCUCUGAAGGUUUGGCAAAAGAAAAAAAAAACAAAAAACAACAAAAACAACAAAAACAAAACAAAAGCACAACCACUGUCCACACCUCACCUCACAGUAUAUGAUCAUUUCCAUUUUAGGCAUUUCCAAAUAAUCAUUUUCCAUACUGCCAGCAUAAAUAUACACAGUAUACUGCCAUCACUACAAUAUAGAUGUUUUACACACUCCUUUUGUUGUUGACAUUUACAGG
Astatotilapia calliptera (eastern happy) is the source of this 1120-nucleotide long non-coding RNA. Lineage: Eukaryota; Metazoa; Chordata; Actinopteri; Cichliformes; Cichlidae. The record is from Ensembl.